This is a long non-coding RNA of Phyllopteryx taeniolatus (common seadragon), 581 nucleotides long. RefSeq lists it as uncharacterized. NCBI's taxonomy places the organism in Eukaryota, Metazoa, Chordata, Actinopteri, Syngnathiformes, Syngnathidae. The transcript has 3 exons. The record is from RefSeq and is a predicted model, not a curated record.
UACAACCCAGGGACCAUUUGUGGCCCGCUGACAUUUUAUUUUUCUGCCAAGUGUAUACUAAAAGUAUUUGCGAGCAGCAGUAUGGUUUCAUGCCUAGAAAGAGAACCACAGAUGCAUUAUUUGCCUUGAGGAUGUUGAUGGAAAAGUACAGAGAAGAUCGAACUUCGAUUGGAAAAUUAUCCCCGACACCCUCGGGUGGCUACUGCCACCCCUUGCCAGCCCCUACCUCCGCCCCUGAUGGGUGAAGGACGUCAGAGUAGCCCUUAUAUCCUUUAAUUUCUCUGCAUGUGGCCAUUGGGGAAAACACAACUUUGGACAACCCUGUGUUCUGCUGAUCAGCUUUCCGAAUUAUUUUUAGGGAACCGGAAAUGUUCGCUUUUUUUCCCCCAUGAGGACAUUGAGCGUCUCACGCGGCCCAAUCAGUGCACAAGCGGCAAUUAAGGGCCGCGGUUUCACGGCCCCGUCAAUCAUCCUGAGCGUGCAGCAGAGGAAGAGGAGGACGAGGAGGAGGUGUUGGAUGUGGAUGGUCAGAGCCCAGCUGGCGACGAACCGAGCCGGCGAGCGCAUUGUCGUUUAUCCAA